AUACUAUCACCUGCCUCAUGGGUUUCUCUUGUGGGGAGUGGGUGGACUUGGGUGUUGCCGAUUGAACUGUCGGCUCGUCCUGAAAUGCAUUAGCCUUGACCUUCUCGGUUGAACCCCGGUGUGAUAGACUAUCAACGCCGCUCGGUUUGGCUGGCCUGGGUUGGCUCAGAGCAGAGUGGUCCCUUGUGGCCUCAUUUUGAA
Molecule: unclassified non-coding RNA, 201 nt
Filed under: uncultured Basidiomycota
Lineage: Eukaryota; Fungi; Basidiomycota
Description: sequence contains ITS2
Source: RNAcentral